Long non-coding RNA from Apis dorsata (giant honeybee), 1004 nucleotides. RefSeq lists it as uncharacterized. The transcript is spliced from 2 exons. Lineage: Eukaryota; Metazoa; Arthropoda; Insecta; Hymenoptera; Apidae. The record is from RefSeq and is a predicted model, not a curated record.
AUAUAUUAUAUAUAUUAUCGAUAUAUUAUAUUUAGUAUAUAGGAGCAAAUCAUCCAUACUUACUUUGCUUGACGUCAUUCUUGUAAACUGUAUAUCAUGAGAUUAAAAAUAAAUACUCGGAAAAGUAUUCACUGUCAAAUAAUUGCAAUUUGAUUUAUUCCAGAUUUACGACAUUUCUUCUCGUUGAUUUCACAUCAAAACAAUGCAGACUAUUUUUACAAUCCAAAUUUAUUCUAAAUUGGAAUUCUUUUAUCAGGAUAAAAAUAUGUUUCGCAAGUAUGACACACUUAGAUGCAAAUAAAAAUCGAUGUCGACCUAUGUUGAGUAUCAAUGAUUAACAAUUCAUUUAACAAAAACUGUACGAGAAAUAAAACGGAAAUUUCUAUCAAUGACGUAUCACGAAGAUUUAAUGUUUUGGCAAAAAGCCCGAUUCGCAUUUACCUUUCCAGAUGUCAUGGAAUUUUCGACAUUUUAUUUAUUUUUUAUUUUAUUCAUUCAACAAUUGAAUGCUUUAUAAAAUUUAGCUAAUUCAUCUCUAUCAAUUUUUCUUUCGUUGCAAAAUAAGCAAAUCGAUAAAUUUUGAUUAUACUGUAGUAUAAUUAAAAAAAAGAGAGAAAGAGGAAGGAAAAAUGGGAUAUAUCUAGGUAUACAUAUAUGUAUUUUCUUGUAUCUGUAUUGAAAACUAUUCAAUCGAAAAUUGAAAGAAGUUACAACAGUUCAUAACUGUCUUAAGCAGCGUUUAUUUCGUUUCUUAUUAAUCAAGUCAGAGCAAUUCUUUAAAAAAUGAGUUUCUCAUUUUUUUUGACUUGUGACAAAAACGCGUUACAAUCACGCUUAUGUAUCGGAAAUUACCAAGGGUUUUCCGACGUAACGUAAUUACACAAUUCUGUGCCCCGUUAUAAUAUAUACGCGUAUUAUCGAUUGUAUUCCAUGUAUAUCACCGUGUGUAUAGCAUUUACAUGUCGAAUCAUUGUAAAUGCUCGAAUCGUACCAUUUAUAUAUAU